GUGUGUCCUCGGCGGCCUGGCGCCGGCCGUCGCUGUACGGUGAGCCCCAGGGAGGCGGAUCUGGGCCCCGAGAAGGACCCCCGCCUGGAUUUGCCCCGUAGGCCCGGCCCGGGCCCCUCGGGAGCAGAACAGCUUUGGUGAGGUGGACAGGAGGUGACCUCGCGAGCAGACGCGCGCGCCAGCGACAGCAGCCCGCCCCGGCCUCUCGGGAGCCGUGGGGCAGAGGCUGCGGAGCCCCAGGAGGGUCUAUCAGCCACAGUCUCUGCAAGUUUCCAAGAGCAGCAGAAAAUGAACACAUUGCAGGGGCCAGUGUCAUUCAAAGAUGUGGCUGUGGAUUUCACCCAGGAGGAGUGGCAGCAACUGGACCCUGAUGAGAAGAUAGCAUACGGGGAUGUGAUGUUGGAGAACUACAGCCAUCUAGUUUCUGUGGGGUAUGAUUAUCACCAAGCCAAACAUCAUCAUGGAGUGGAGGUGAAGGAAGUGGAGCAGGGAGAGGAGCCGUGGAUAAUGGAAGGUGAAUUUCCAUGUCAACAUAGU
Molecule: long non-coding RNA, 537 nt
Filed under: Homo sapiens (human)
Lineage: Eukaryota; Metazoa; Chordata; Mammalia; Primates; Hominidae
Description: long non-coding RNA NONHSAT122493.2
Source: RNAcentral